This 403-nucleotide ribosomal RNA is filed under the name uncultured bacterium. RNAcentral's name for it is "bacterial SSU rRNA". It matches the Rfam family "Bacterial small subunit ribosomal RNA", at positions 362 to 758 of the family's 1533-position model. The record is from RNAcentral.
UAUUGGACAAUGGGCGCAAGCCUGAUCCAGCAAUACCGCGUGUGUGAAGAAGGCCUUAGGGUUGUAAAGCACUUUCAAUUGGGAGGAAAACCUGCCGGUCAAUACCCGGUAGCUUGACAUUACCUUUAGAAGAAGCACCGGCUAACUCCGUGCCAGCAGCCGCGGUAAUACGGAGGGUGCGAGCGUUAAUCGGAAUUACUGGGCGUAAAGCGUGCGUAGGCGGUUCGUUAAGUCAGAUGUGAAAGCCCUGGGCUCAACCUGGGAACUGCAUUUGAAACUGGCGGACUAGAGUUUAGUAGAGGGGAGUGGAAUUUCAGGUGUAGCGGUGAAAUGCGUAGAUAUCUGAAGGAACACCAGUGGCGAAGGCGACUCCCUGGACUAGAACUGACGCUGAGGUACGAAA